This 121-nucleotide small nucleolar RNA is filed under the name Carlito syrichta (Philippine tarsier). RNAcentral describes it as "Small nucleolar RNA SNORA25 (ENSTSYG00000023055.2)". It matches the Rfam family "Small nucleolar RNA SNORA25". From Rfam's summary of the family: ACA25 is a member of the H/ACA class of snoRNA that guide the sites of modification of uridines to pseudouridines. The record is from Rfam by way of RNAcentral. Lineage: Eukaryota; Metazoa; Chordata; Mammalia; Primates; Tarsiidae.
AGGUCAUGUCAAAGAUGGCUUACAUGUCUGUGAAACCAGAAGCUCUUAUGAUCAAAGACUGAAGUUCUUCACAGGAUGCCAUAGUCACCCAAUAGUGCUGUUUUCCUAAGGUGAUAUAAGA